RNAcentral lists this ribosomal RNA (467 nucleotides) under uncultured bacterium. Its description in RNAcentral is "partial 16S ribosomal RNA". It matches the Rfam family "Bacterial small subunit ribosomal RNA", at positions 28 to 507 of the family's 1533-position model. The record is from RNAcentral.
GACGAACGCUGGCGGCGUGCUUAACACAUGCAAGUCGAACGGAAAGGCCCUGCUUUUGUGGGGUGCUCGAGUGGCGAACGGGUGAGUAACACGUGAGUAACCUGCCCUUGACUUUGGGAUAACUUCAGGAAACUGGGGCUAAUACCGGAUAGGAGCUCCUGCUGCAUGGUGGGGGUUGGAAAGUUUCGGCGGUUGGGGAUGGACUCGCGGCUUAUCAGCUUGUUGGUGGGGUAGUGGCUUACCAAGGCUUUGACGGGUAGCCGGCCUGAGAGGGUGACCGGCCACAGAGGGAUGGAGGAAGAGCCAGAACUCAAUCGGGGGGGAGGGGGGGGAAAGAUGUAACAGAGGGCGGGAGGCGGGAGGAGCAACCCCGGGUGGGGGAGGGCGGCCGUCGGGAGGGAAACCGAUUUCGCUUAUACCGGAGGGUGAUGACAGUAAAGGGAGAAAAAGCACCGGCUAACUACGUG